GCGUAAAGGGUACGUAGGCGGUGCAAAAAAGGAGAAAAUUAAAUACUGGGUAAUCAUCCUUUACGUUUUCUUUCUGAUUCACUUUGAAUCUCAGCGAGGACGCGGGUAUCUACAAGUAGACGUGAAAUGUGUUGAUAUGAGAGGACCGACCGUGGCGAAAGCACGUUUCCGGCGAGCAUUGACGCUAAGAGACGAGAGCAUGGGUAUCGAUCGAGAUUAGAGACCUCAGUAGUCAUGCUGUAAACGAUGCAAGUUCAAUGUCGGAGAAAUAAUGUUAAGAAUUUUAGCAGUGGUUCAAAAUGCAAAAAAAAUUCUUAUAAAUUAACCAAAUUAUCACAUACUGAAGGUCUCCGGUGUUCUAGCUAACGCGUUAAACAUGCCGCCUGGGUAGUAGGCCGCAAGGUUGAAACUCAAAAGAAUUGACGGAGACUUGUACAAGG
This 440-nucleotide ribosomal RNA is filed under the name Dianema subretisporum. Its description in RNAcentral is "partial small subunit ribosomal RNA". It matches the Rfam family "Bacterial small subunit ribosomal RNA", at positions 558 to 930 of the family's 1533-position model. Lineage: Eukaryota; Evosea; Eumycetozoa; Trichiida; Dianemataceae. The record is from RNAcentral.